GGGCGCGUAGCUCAGCUGGUUAGAGCGCAUGCUUCACAUGCAUGAGGUCGGAGGUUCGAGUCCCCCUGCGCCCACCA
RNAcentral lists this transfer RNA (77 nucleotides) under Candidatus Omnitrophota bacterium. RNAcentral describes it as "tRNA-Val". It matches the Rfam family "tRNA". Rfam says of the family: Transfer RNA (tRNA) molecules are approximately 80 nucleotides in length. Their secondary structure includes four short double-helical elements and three loops (D, anti-codon, and T loops). Further hydrogen bonds mediate the characteristic L-shaped molecular structure. tRNAs have two regions of fundamental functional importance: the anti-codon, which is responsible for specific mRNA codon recognition, and the 3' end, to which the tRNAs corresponding amino acid is attached (by aminoacyl-tRNA synthetases). tRNAs cope with the degeneracy of the genetic code in two manners: having more than one tRNA (with a specific anti-codon) for a particular amino acid; and 'wobble' base-pairing, i.e. permitting non-standard base-pairing at the 3rd anti-codon position. The record is from RNAcentral. Lineage: Bacteria; Pseudomonadati; Candidatus Omnitrophota.